This 408-nucleotide ribosomal RNA is filed under the name uncultured bacterium. Its description in RNAcentral is "partial 16S ribosomal RNA". It matches the Rfam family "Bacterial small subunit ribosomal RNA", at positions 28 to 526 of the family's 1533-position model. The record is from RNAcentral.
GACGAACGCUGGCGGCGUGCUUAACACAUGCAAGUCGAACGGAGUGGCGAACGGGUGAGUAACACGUGGGUGACCUGCCCUGCACUUCGGGAUAAGCCUGGGAAACUGGGUCUAAUACCGGAUAGUGUGGGAUGGGCCCGCGGCCUAUCAGCUGGUUGGUGGGGUAAUGGCCUACCAAGGCGGCGACGGGUAGCCGGACUGAGAGGGGGGCCGGGCACGUUGGGACUGAGACACGGCCCAGACUACUUCGGGAGGAAGCCGGGGGGAAUAUUGCACAGUGGGCGGAAGCCUUAUGCAGCGACGCGGCGUGGGGGAUGACGGCCUUCGGGUUGGAAACUCCUUUCACCAUCGACGCGGUAGCUGGAGAAGAAGCACCGGCUAACUACGUGCCAGCAGCCGCGGUAAUUC